GAAUAUUGGACAAUGGGCGAAAGCCUGAUCCAGCCAUGCCGCGUGUGUGAAGAAGGUCUUCGGAUUGUAAAGCACUUUAAGUUGGGAGGAAGGGCAGUAAGCGAAUACCUUGCUGUUUUGACGUUACCGACAGACUAAGCACCGGCUAACCCUGUGCCCGCCGCCGCGGUAAUACAGAGGGUGCAAGCGUUAAUCGGAAUUACUGGGCGUAAAGCGCGCGUAGGUGGUUCGUUAAGUUGGAUGUGAAAUCCCCGGGCUCAACCUGGGAACUGCAUCCAAAACUGGCGAGCUAGAGUAGGGCAGAGGGUGGUGGAAUUCCCGGUGUAGCAGUGAAAUGCGUAGAGAUCGGGAGGAACAUCCAUGGCGAAGGCAGCUACCUGGACCAACACUGACACUGAGGCACGAAAGCGUGGGGAGCAAACAGG
This 425-nucleotide ribosomal RNA is filed under the name uncultured bacterium. RNAcentral describes it as "bacterial SSU rRNA". It matches the Rfam family "Bacterial small subunit ribosomal RNA", at positions 359 to 776 of the family's 1533-position model. The record is from RNAcentral.